Molecule: ribosomal RNA, 929 nt
Filed under: uncultured bacterium
Lineage: Bacteria
Description: bacterial SSU rRNA
Rfam family: Bacterial small subunit ribosomal RNA
Source: RNAcentral
AGAGUUUGAUCCUGGCUCAGAGCGAACGCUGGCGGCGUGCUUAACACAUGCAAGUCGAACGUGAACGGGGCAACCCUAGUAAAGUGGCGUACGGGUGAGUAACACGUGGGUAAUCUACCUUAAAGUCUGGAAUAACCGGCCGAAAGGCUGGCUAAUACUGGAUAGAGCGACUGGAACUCGUAAUGAGUUUUUCGGGAAAGGGAGCCUGAUAAGGGCCUUCGCUUUAAGAUGAGCCUGCGUCUGAUUAGUUAGUUGGUGAGGUAAUGGCUCACCAAGACGAUGAUCAGUAGCUGGUCUGAGAGGAUGAUCAGCCACACUGGAACUGAAACACGGUCCAGACUCCUACGGGAGGCAGCAGUGGGGAAUCUUGCGCAAUGGACGAAAGUCUGACGCAGCCACGCCGCGUGAGUGAAGAAGGCCUUCGGGUUGUAAAGCUCUGUCACCUGGGACGAAAACCCUUUUGGUUAAUAGCCAAGAGGCUUGACGGUACCAGGGGAGGAAGCACCGGCUAACUUCGUGCCAGCAGCCGCGGUAAUACGAAGGGUGCAAGCGUUGCUCGGAAUUAUUGGGCGUAAAGGGUUGGUAGGUGGUCUUGUUUGUCUAAGGUGAAAUCCCAUGGCUUAACUGUGGAAGUGCCUUAGAAACGGCAAGACUAGAGUCCUAGAGGGGUUUGUGGAAUUCCCGGUGUAGCGGUGAAAUGCGUAGAGAUCGGGAGGAACACCAGCGGCGAAGGCGGCAAACUGGAUAGGAACUGACACUCAACAACGAAAGCGUGGGGAGCAAACAGGAUUAGAUACCCUGGUAGUCCACGCUGUAAACGAUGGGUACUAGGCUUUGUGGGAAUAGACCCCUGCAGAGCCGGAGCUAACGCAAUAAGUACCCCGCCUGGGAAGUACGGUCGCAAGACUAAAACUCAAAGGAAUUGACGG